CCAAGGAGUCUAGACUGUGCGCGAGUCAAAGGGCUGGCUAAACCCCAAGGCGAAACGAAAGUGAAAACGAUUUUUCAUUGGGCCGAUCCGGUUCGUCGUGGCUGGCGGGGGACUUUUCGCCCCCGUUCUUCCCUUCGAUUCGUCGCAGUAACAUGCGGACGGCGCAGGCCCGGGGCUCGCUUAUGCUUCCUCCGCCGCCGUUAAGGCUCGGGAGUCGUCGUUUUGGUCGGGAAGUAGGCGUCAGCGGCGGGUCGGAUUCGCGUCCUUCUCGUUCGCUCGCCUGCCCCUCUCGAUAGGAACCUUCUCCCCGCCGGCGGCGGACGAGCGGCGGGUUCUCUGAGCGCACAAUCUGGUACCCGAAAGAUGGUGAUCUAUGCCUGGCGAGGAUGAAGCCAGAGGAAACUCUGGUGGAAGUCC
Molecule: ribosomal RNA, 417 nt
Filed under: Stenophiloscia glarearum
Lineage: Eukaryota; Metazoa; Arthropoda; Malacostraca; Isopoda; Halophilosciidae
Description: partial 28S ribosomal RNA
Rfam family: Eukaryotic large subunit ribosomal RNA
Source: RNAcentral